Caenorhabditis elegans is the source of this 215-nucleotide small nucleolar RNA. The record is from Ensembl. Lineage: Eukaryota; Metazoa; Nematoda; Chromadorea; Rhabditida; Rhabditidae.
GUGGUCCGGAUUAGGCGUGCGAUCCGCGGUUUCCCGGUGUUGUGGACCUCCAAGUCGGUUACACAAGUCCCAUAAAUCGGUGUACAACGAAUAAGUGCCUUCAAACUCCGGUAGAGCAUUGUCCAAUGCUAGCUGCGCCAGUUCAAUUCGGUUCCGAGACCCCCUUUCCCCAACCCGUGUAGCGUAGACGCCGCCGAGUUCUUGACCACACUUUU